GUGAACGCCCUCACGGGCUUAUACUAUUCCAAACCUCUGUGAACCGUGCCCUUCGGGGCUAUUUUACAAACAUGGUGUAAUGAACGUCAUAUAUCAUAAUACAAAACA
Molecule: unclassified non-coding RNA, 108 nt
Filed under: soil metagenome
Description: partial internal transcribed spacer 1
Source: RNAcentral